This 253-nucleotide ribosomal RNA is filed under the name uncultured bacterium. RNAcentral describes it as "partial 16S ribosomal RNA". It matches the Rfam family "Bacterial small subunit ribosomal RNA", at positions 524 to 776 of the family's 1533-position model. The record is from RNAcentral.
UACGUAGGGUGCGAGCGUUAAUCGGAAUUACUGGGCGUAAAGCGUGCGCAGGCGGUUUUGUAAGCCAGAUGUGAAAGCCCCGGGCUUAACCUGGGAAUUGCAUUGGAUACUGGCAGGCUAGAGUGCGGUAGAGGAUGGCGGAAUUCCCGGUGUAGCAGUGAAAUGCGUAGAGAUCGGGAGGAACAUCUGUGGCGAAGGCGGCCAUCUGGACCAGCACUGACACUGAGGCACGAAAGCGUGGGGAGCAAACAGG